RNAcentral lists this ribosomal RNA (492 nucleotides) under bacterium RL 4. Its description in RNAcentral is "bacterial SSU rRNA". It matches the Rfam family "Bacterial small subunit ribosomal RNA", at positions 1 to 471 of the family's 1533-position model. The record is from RNAcentral.
AUUUAUAGAAGAGUUUGCUCUCUGGCUCUUAGACGAACGCCGGCGGCACGCACUUACACAUGGAGGUCGAGCGAGAUCCUUUGGACUGCGUCUUCCGACAAGUGAAGCAAGUAAGAGCUAGCGGUCGGCUGAGUAGUGCGGGAGUACGUUUCGCUAGGCAGGGGGAUACCCCUUGGAAACGGUGAGUGAUAGCCCAUAAGCUUACGCCCUCGCACGAUCAGAUGGGCAAAGGUCAGAUGAUAUAGGAGGGGCGGUAGUGGGACUACAUAGCGGGUGAGGUAACGGCUCACCAAGGCGACGAUCGGUACACGGCCUGAGAGGGUGAUCGGUCACACUGGAACUAGACGCGGUCCAGAAUCCUACGCGAGGCAGCAAUGGGGAAUAUUGCACAAUGGGCGAAACCCUGAUGCAGCCAUGCCGCGAAACGAAGAAGGCUUUCGGGUCGUACAGUCUUUAAUAGCGACGAGAAUGACGUAGCUACAGCCAUGUGGG